GACGAACGCUGGCGGCGUGCUUAACACAUGCAAGUCGAACGGAAAGGCCCUGCUUUUGUGGGGUGCUCGAGUGGCGAACGGGUGAGUAACACGUGAGUAACCUGCCCUUGACUUUGGGAUAACUUCAGGAAACUGGGGCUAAUACCGGAUAGGAGCUCCUGCUGCAUGGUGGGGGUUGGAAAGUUUCGGCGGUUGGGGAUGGACUCGCGGCUUAUCAGCUUGUUGGUGGGGUAGUGGCUUUCCAAGGCUUUGACGGGUAGCCGGCCUGAGAGGGUGACCGGCCACAUUGGGACUGAGAUACGGCCCAGACUCCUACGGGAGGCAGCAGUGGGGAAUAUUGCACAAUGGGCGGAAGCCUGAUGCAGCAACGCCGCGUGCGGGAUGAAGGCCUUCGGGUUGUAAACCGCUUUCGCCUGUGACGAAGCGUGAGUGACGGUAAUGGGUAAAGAAGCACCGGCUAACUACGUG
RNAcentral lists this ribosomal RNA (468 nucleotides) under uncultured bacterium. Its description in RNAcentral is "partial 16S ribosomal RNA". It matches the Rfam family "Bacterial small subunit ribosomal RNA", at positions 28 to 507 of the family's 1533-position model. The record is from RNAcentral.